This is a long non-coding RNA of Brassica oleracea var. oleracea, 503 nucleotides long. RefSeq lists it as uncharacterized. The record is from RefSeq and is a predicted model, not a curated record. The transcript has 3 exons. NCBI's taxonomy places the organism in Eukaryota, Viridiplantae, Streptophyta, Magnoliopsida, Brassicales, Brassicaceae.
ACCUCAGAGAAAUCAGUCUAUGAGGGAAUUCAUGCGGUCUUGGUUCUUGCCAUUCUAAGGUUUCUAGGGAAGUUGGUGGCGCUAGUGAAGCUCAGCCAUGGAAUCAAAACUGGUGAAUCCGGCUACAUGUACAUAUCUCUGAGCAAGAUGAUCGUGAAUGUCGAGUACUCUGUCGACAAAAAUCUUCUUUGUCUACUCAAUCGUAAAACAGAAGACGCCAUAGCUGAACCGUCGUAUCUUCUUCGGGACUUUACGGGUGUGAAUUAUGGUGAUAGUCCAGUUGCAGUUGCAAGGAGAAGUAAAAAGAGGAAGCUAAACUGAAACGAGAAAUGUUUUGAACUCGAGAGAAAAAGGAGGGAUCAAGCAUCAGAUAGAAGUGGAGUGCAACAGUACACAAUUUAACUAGGACACAAGACAAGGAGUAUAUUGUAGAGAAUGAACUUUUGCUAAUAUCUGAUAUUGAGCAUACGUUUGAGAGAUACAUGAUUUUGUGGUGCCUUUUU